This 21-nucleotide microRNA is filed under the name Solanum tuberosum (potato). RNAcentral describes it as "stu-miR408b-5p". Its record names the gene stu-miR408b-5p. Lineage: Eukaryota; Viridiplantae; Streptophyta; Magnoliopsida; Solanales; Solanaceae. The record is from miRBase by way of RNAcentral.
ACGGGGACGAGACAGAGCAUG